This is a small nucleolar RNA of Cheilinus undulatus (humphead wrasse), 301 nucleotides long. The record is from RefSeq and is a predicted model, not a curated record. NCBI's taxonomy places the organism in Eukaryota, Metazoa, Chordata, Actinopteri, Labriformes, Labridae.
GCCCAGUGAUGAGACCAAGGCGAAUAUGAGCUUACUGACUGAAAGUUGGGUCCUUCUUACCUUGAUUGGCAGGUAAUCUUGGCAGCGCAGGGGAGGAUUCCUGCUCUGCUGUAAGGGUCUGCCUACAGUGACUUAGCCUGACCCUCAUUACUUCUCUGAAGUCUCAGUGGAGUACUGUGGGUAGAAGCUGACAGUGUGUGUUGUGAGUGUGUGUACAUGUGUGUGUGAAAGGAAAGGAGUUCACCCAGCUCUCUUUAACGUUCAGUUAGCAGUGAGUUGCCUCUUUGGUAAUCUGAGGGCA